This is a non-coding RNA of Gloeophyllum trabeum ATCC 11539, 84 nucleotides long. The record is from the annotation of a RefSeq genome assembly. Lineage: Eukaryota; Fungi; Basidiomycota; Agaricomycetes; Gloeophyllales; Gloeophyllaceae.
GGGCACUUGGUGUAGAUGGUUAUCACGCUCGCUUAGCAUGUUUCAGUUUGCGAGAGGGGACCGGUUCAAUUCCGGUAGUGUCCA